CUGCUUGUUUCAGCAGCACGUAUACAAAGAAGACCAGCAUGGUCUCUGAGCAAAAAUGACAUAAAUUCGUGAAGCAUUCCACAUUUUU
Molecule: small nuclear RNA, 88 nt
Filed under: Peromyscus maniculatus bairdii (prairie deer mouse)
Lineage: Eukaryota; Metazoa; Chordata; Mammalia; Rodentia; Cricetidae
Source: RNAcentral